AUUGAACGCUGGCGGCAGGCCUAACACAUGCAAGUCGAGCGGAUGAAGGGAGCUUGCUCCUGGAUUCAGCGGCGGACGGGUGAGUAAUGCCUAGGAAUCUGCCUGGUAGUGGGGGAUAACGUCCGGAAACGGGCGCUAAUACCGCAUACGUCCUGAGGGAGAAAGUGGGGGAUCGUCGGACCUCACGCUAUCAGAUGAGCCUAGGUCGGAUUAGCUAGUUGGUGGGGUAAAGGCCUACCAAGGCGACGAUCCGUAACUGGUCUGAGAGGAUGAUCAGUCACACUGGAACUGAGACACGGUCCAGACUCCUACGGGAGGCAGCAGUGGGGAAUAUUGGACAAAGGGCGAAAGCCUGAUCCAGCCAUGCCGCGUGUGUGAAGAAGGUCUUCGGAUUGUAAAGCACUUUAAGUUGGGAGGAAGGGCAGUAAGUUAAUACCUUGCUGUUUUGACGUUACCAACGGAAUAAGCACCGGCUAACUUCGUG
This 484-nucleotide ribosomal RNA is filed under the name uncultured bacterium. RNAcentral describes it as "partial 16S ribosomal RNA". It matches the Rfam family "Bacterial small subunit ribosomal RNA", at positions 30 to 507 of the family's 1533-position model. The record is from RNAcentral.